Molecule: long non-coding RNA, 515 nt
Organism: Aquila chrysaetos chrysaetos
Lineage: Eukaryota; Metazoa; Chordata; Aves; Accipitriformes; Accipitridae
Exons: 4
Source: RefSeq, a predicted model, not a curated record
GGCCGCCCUUGGCGGCGGGGCAGCCCCCGGGCUCCCAGCUCACCCCCCUGCGAGUGAGGGCACCUGAGGGGAAGGGCCGCCUCCCCUUCGGCCCCGGCUUGGAAGGGCUCCGACACAUAACCUGAGACGUCCCCUCUGGAAAGGGCCCGUCAGCCUGCCGCUCAGCUUAAAACCAACCAACCAAAAAAACACCUGGUGAAAAAAUAAGUAGACUGACAACCUGGGCCAGGAGGGACAUGGAACAUGAGAUACAGAAGACUAAAAACUGGGACUCAACCGAAGGCUGCAGGAAUAGGAUAUUACAACAGGUCAUACGCUCACAGGUGCAAAAAUCAACAUAAAAUCUCCACACAUCUGCAACUUUCAGAAUUAGAGGUGGCCCCAAGAGAAGCUGGCUUUCUGGCUACAUUCAUCCCUUAGACUUGGAAGAGAAUUUGGAUGCAGAGCAAUGCAUAAUGAUCACAUAUUUCUGAUGAGUUCAACAGUGUUUUAAAGACUUCAGAAAGGUUCAUUUG